RNAcentral lists this transfer RNA (77 nucleotides) under Micrococcus lylae. RNAcentral's name for it is "tRNA-Val". It matches the Rfam family "tRNA". From Rfam's summary of the family: Transfer RNA (tRNA) molecules are approximately 80 nucleotides in length. Their secondary structure includes four short double-helical elements and three loops (D, anti-codon, and T loops). The record is from RNAcentral. Lineage: Bacteria; Bacillati; Actinomycetota; Actinomycetes; Micrococcales; Micrococcaceae.
GGACCAAUAGCUCAGUCGGCUAGAGCAUCUCGUUUACACCGAGAGGGUCGGGGGUUCGAGUCCCUCUUGGUCCACCG